UCCGUAGGUGAACCUGCGGAAGGAUCACUAGUGAUUAAAUCGAGCGUGUCUUCAUUGACCGCUCACCCUUCUCACCAUCCACAUACACCUGUGCACUGUUUAGCCUGAGCCGGUUUUCCGGUCCAGGUUAUCAUUUCAUACAAACUCUAGUCUUAUGAAUGUAAACGUUUUAAUAACAUAAUAAAACUUUCAACAACGGAUCUCUUGGUUCUCGCAUCGAUGAAGAACGCAGCGAAAUGCGAUAAGUAAUGUGAAUUGCAGAAUUCAGUGAAUCAUCGAAUCUUUGAACGCACCUUGCGCUCCUUGGUAUUCCGAGGAGCAUGCCUGUUUGAGUGUCAUGAAACUCUCACCCUCUAGCUUUCUUAAUCGUGGCUAGCGGCGUGGACGUGAGCGCUGCUGCUUUGUUGCGGCUCGCUCGAAAUGCAUUAGCAGACCCUUUUCGUAAUCGGUUCCACUCAACGUGAUAAGUAUUUCGUUGAGGACAGUUGCAGCAAUGCGGCUGGCCGGGAUAAGAAAGGCAUAGUUGUCAGCUUCUAAUCGCCCUUGGGCAAUUUUUUAUGAUCUGGCCUCAAAUCAGGUAGGACUACCCGCUGAACUUAAGCAUAUCAAUAAGCGGAGGAAAAGAAACUAACAAGGAUUCCCCUAGUAACGGCGAGUGAAGCGGGAUGAGCUCAAAUUUAAAAUCUGGCGGUCUCAGAUCGUCCGAGUUGUAGUCUAGAGAAGCGUUUUCCGUGCUGGCCUGUGUACAAGUCCGUUGGAACACGGCGUCAUAGAGGGUGAGAAUCCCGUCCUUGACACAGAUCUCCAGUGCUUUGUGAUGCGCUCUCAAAGAGUCGAGUUGUUUGGGAAUGCAGCUCAAAAUGGGUGGUAAAUUCCAUCUAAAGCUAAAUAUUGGCGAGAAACCGAUAGCGAACAAGUACCGUGAGGGAAAGAUGAAAAGCACUUUGGAAAGAGAGUUAAACAGUACGUGAAAUUGUUGAAAGGGAAACGCUUGAAGU
This 998-nucleotide small RNA is filed under the name uncultured fungus. RNAcentral describes it as "eukaryotic LSU rRNA". The stretch from base 564 to 998 matches the Rfam family "Eukaryotic large subunit ribosomal RNA", at positions 1 to 429 of the family's 3401-position model. The record is from RNAcentral. Lineage: Eukaryota; Fungi.